GUUGAACGCUGGCGGCAGGCCUAACACAUGCAAGUCGAACGGUAACAGGAAGCAGCUUGCUGCUUUGCUGACGAGUGGCGGACGGGUGAGUAAUGUCUGGGAAACUGCCUGAUGGAGGGGGAUAACUACUGGAAACGGUAGCUAAUACCGCAUAACGUCGCAAGACCAAAGAGGGGGACCUUCGGGCCUCUUGCCAUCGGAUGUGCCCAGAUGGGAUUAGCUAGUAGGUGGGGUAACGGCUCACCUAGGCGACGAUCCCUAGCUGGUCUGAGAGGAUGACCAGCCACACUGGAACUGAGACACGGUCCAGACUCCUACGGGAGGCAGCAGUGGGGAAUAUUGCACAAUGGGCGCAAGCCUGAUGCAGCCAUGCCGCGUGUAUGAAGAAGGCCUUCGGGUUGUAAAGUACUUUCAGCGGGGAGGAAGGGAGUAAAGUUAAUACCUUUGCUCAUUGACGUUACCCGCAGAAGAAGCACCGGCUAACUCCGUG
This 490-nucleotide ribosomal RNA is filed under the name uncultured bacterium. RNAcentral describes it as "partial 16S ribosomal RNA". It matches the Rfam family "Bacterial small subunit ribosomal RNA", at positions 28 to 507 of the family's 1533-position model. The record is from RNAcentral.